Molecule: long non-coding RNA, 1742 nt
Organism: Stegostoma tigrinum
Lineage: Eukaryota; Metazoa; Chordata; Chondrichthyes; Orectolobiformes; Stegostomatidae
Exons: 5
Source: RefSeq, a predicted model, not a curated record
GGGUAGGAGUGGAAGAAUCAGAGUGUUUCUUUGAAAAUUGGCUUGAUGUGUCUGUCCAAGGGUCAUCUGGAGGAAAAAAUACAAGUGCACUCAGACAUGAACUAAUGGAUAAGGAGGAGACAAUCAGAACUGCUUUGGAUUCAGCCCAUAGAAGGGCCAGAGGAGUCGCGCUGACACCUUCAUGUUUAAACAGAGGACACUUUUCUGCGUGCCACUAGAUGUAUAUCAGCCAUACCAAAAUGCUGCCUUUGCCUGAGACAGGGAAGAUGAAAUGACUUUGGGGAAAUGGAGAAUCAUUCAUGAAUCCAGUUACUUUCUGAUCUGACAGCUUUGUGGCAUCUGAAUGGAUAACAAUUUGAUCUGAAGUGCUGAACGUCAACUUGCCAAAUACAAUUGAAUGAAAAGUAUGAGGCCAAUCAGUCUCUUGAAACACUUUCUCUAUGCAAUCAACAUAACAACAUUCAUUGACAAUGAAAAAUUACGUACGUGCUUAAGAAGAUUAGAUUUGAAACAGAGAUUUGUGAAUAUGAAUGGAGCUAUAUAUGUCCCCAUCUCAGGCACCCACCUCAAGUUCACCUGGACUAUCUACAACACCUCUGUCACCUUCCUGGACCUCUCUGUCUCCAUCUCAGAACCUAACCCGGAAGAGAGAGCCCAGAGAAUUGCCAAAGCUGUCCUCAAACAGUCAAUAGAAGUGAAGGAAAAUUGGGAGCAAUUGAAAACCCAUGCAAGCAACUGGCAGAAACAGGUGGAAAAGGCAUUGGAGAAACUUCAAGAACUGCAGAAAGCUCUGGAUGAUCUUGAGGCUCGUGAUAACAGCUGAGGGGGUCCACACUGAUUGGCAACCUGUGGAUGACCUGCUUAUUGACUCAUUGCAGGAUCACAUUGAUAAAACCAGACUAAGUGCAAUUACAUUACACUUCACUUAUGAACAGAUGUAACCGCAAUGUUGUAUCGAGACGAUCAGUAAUAUGAGUACUUUAGUAAUAUUGAUUGAAUGGUUGUUAACUUAAUUUGAAAAUUAAAACUUAGUUGAGCAUGCCUUCUGAUGAUAUCACAUCGGUAAUAUUAGUAUAAUUGAGGAUUCUAUUAGUCAGUGACAUCAGCUGAGUUAUCUGCUUGUUGCUAUGUUAUCAGGAUUAAAGGUAAAGUCUUAGCACGCCAUUUGGCCACUCCUUAGAGAGAGACAACUGGUUAUGAUUUAACCUGAAGAUCACCAUGCCUCGGGCAAGUAGAGGGGUUGAGGCAAAGAUCCUUUGUGGUAAGCUCACUGGUGUGGCAAUUGAGCCCUCUCUGCAGGGCAUCACUUUGCAUCACAAACCAACCGUUCAGCCAACUGAAUUUGAAUGGAGUUUAGGAUUGUAGAGUAAUCCAUGCAAUUGUAUUUUUUUGAAUGAAUGUUUCUAACUGGGACUCUCUCACUGGCAAACUUUUUAAAAGCCAGCUCAGCCAUACAGGUUAGAUAAGUUCCUGAUCUCAGCUGAAUUUUUUGAUCUGGGGUGGGUCAGCGUUAGGAGUUCAGUGAUUGGAAUGAAUUCUCAUUAAAUUAGCGAGAGGGAUACUACACGUGAAUAGACCGAUGUUUUGAAAAGAGGAUGAGAUACGAGCAAAAGUUUAAUUGAUGGAGAAGACCAGCCACAAUCAUCAUCAACGGUGGAGCAGGCUUGAGCAGCCAUGCAACAUUGUGCUGCCGCUAUUUGACUUGCUCCGUGAAGAGGAAGGAAAAGGGUCAAAGUUUCAAA